GAUGAACGCUGGCGGCGUGCCUAAUACAUGCAAGUCGAGCGAACAGAUAAGGAGCUUGCUCCUUUUACGUUAGCGGCGGACGGGUGAGUAACACGUGGGUAACCUACCUAUAAGACUGGGAUAACUUCGGGAAACCGGAGCUAAUACCGGAUAACAUUUGGAACCGCAUGGUUCUAAAGUGAAAGAUGGUUUUGCUAUCACUUAUAGAUGGACCCGCGCCGUAUUAGCUAGUUGGUAAGGUAACGGCUUACCAAGGCAACGAUACGUAGCCGACCUGAGAGGGUGAUCGGCCACACUGGAACUGAGACACGGUCCAGACUCCUACGGGAGGCAGCAGUAGGGAAUCUUCCGCAAUGGGCGAAAGCCUGACGGAGCAACGCCGCGUGAGUGAUGAAGGGUUUCGGCUCGUAAAACUCUGUUAUUAGGGAAGAACAAACGUGUAAGUAACUGUGCACGUCUUGACGGUACCUAAUCAGAAAGCCACGGCUAACUACGUG
RNAcentral lists this ribosomal RNA (497 nucleotides) under uncultured bacterium. Its description in RNAcentral is "partial 16S ribosomal RNA". It matches the Rfam family "Bacterial small subunit ribosomal RNA", at positions 28 to 507 of the family's 1533-position model. The record is from RNAcentral.